GAUGAACGCUGGCGGCGUGCCUAAUACAUGCCAGUCGAGCGAACGGACGAGAAUCUUGCUUCUCUGAUGUUAGCGGCGGACGGGUGAGUAACACGUGGAUAACCUACCUAUAAGACUGGGAUAACUUCGGGAAACCGGAGCUAAUACCGGAUAAUAUUUUGAACCGCAUGGUUCAAAAGUGAAAGACGGUCUUGCUGUCACUUAUAGAUGGAUCCGCGCUGCAUUAGCUAGUUGGUAAGGUAACGGCUUACCAAGGCAACGAUGCAUAGCCGACCUGAGAGGGUGAUCGGCCACAAUGGAACUGAGACACGGUACAGAAUCCUACGGGAGGCAGCAGUAGGGAAUAUUCCGCAAGGGGCGAAAGCCUGACGGAGCAACGCCGCGUGAGGGAUGAAGGUCUUCGGAUCGUAAAACUCUGUUAUUAGGGAAGAACAUAUGUGUAAGUAACUGUGCACAUCUUGACGGUACCUAAUCAGAAAGCCACGGCUAACUACGUG
This 497-nucleotide ribosomal RNA is filed under the name uncultured bacterium. RNAcentral describes it as "partial 16S ribosomal RNA". It matches the Rfam family "Bacterial small subunit ribosomal RNA", at positions 28 to 507 of the family's 1533-position model. The record is from RNAcentral.